This is a transfer RNA of Ovis aries (sheep), 72 nucleotides long. It matches the Rfam family "tRNA". From Rfam's summary of the family: Transfer RNA (tRNA) molecules are approximately 80 nucleotides in length. Their secondary structure includes four short double-helical elements and three loops (D, anti-codon, and T loops). NCBI's taxonomy places the organism in Eukaryota, Metazoa, Chordata, Mammalia, Artiodactyla, Bovidae. The record is from Rfam.
UCCCCAGUGGCUCAGAAGGUAAAGAACCUGCCUGCAAUGCAGGAGACUUAGGUUCGAUCCCUGGGUGGGGAA